This is a long non-coding RNA of Haliotis rubra (blacklip abalone), 124 nucleotides long. RefSeq lists it as uncharacterized. Lineage: Eukaryota; Metazoa; Mollusca; Gastropoda; Lepetellida; Haliotidae. The transcript is spliced from 3 exons. The record is from RefSeq and is a predicted model, not a curated record.
UAAAGAUUUUAAUUGUUGAAUAUUUGUCAUUUUAAUUUUAGCUACAAUUCCUCAAUAUUGCCAGCGACCGAAGGGAUGGUGUAAAUCCAGCUAGGGUCCAUGCAGGUAGCCAACGUACUGUAAG